GGUUUCAGCCAUACCACCAUGAUCUAUAUUUCCACCAGAACCUCAGGGAUAAGCCUGCUCAGUAGCUAAAUGGGAGACCCCCAGGGAAAUCCAGGAUGUUGCAGGAA
Molecule: ribosomal RNA, 107 nt
Organism: Chelonoidis abingdonii (Abingdon island giant tortoise)
Lineage: Eukaryota; Metazoa; Chordata; Testudines; Testudinidae
Source: Ensembl